UGCUGCUUUGCUGACGAGUGGCGGACGGGUGAGUAAUGUCUGGGAAACUGCCUGAUGGAGGGGGAUAACUACUGGAAACGGUAGCUAAUACCGCAUAACGUCGCAAGACCAAAGAGGGGGACCUUCGGGCCUCUUGCCAUCGGAUGUGCCCAGAUGGGAUUAGCUAGUAGGUGGGGUAACGGCUCACCUAGGCGACGAUCCCUAGCUGGUCUGAGAGGAUGACCAGCCACACUGGAACUGAGACACGGUCCAGACUCCUACGGGAGGCAGCAGUGGGGAAUAUUGCACAAUGGGCGCAAGCCUGAUGCAGCCAUGCCGCGUGUAUGAAGAAGGCCUUCGGGUUGUAAAGUACUUUCAGCGGGGAGGAAGGGAGUAAAGUUAAUACCUUUGCUCAUUGACGUUACCCGCAGAAGAAGCACCGGCUAACUCCGUGCCAGCAGCCGCGGUAAUACGGAGGGUGCAAGCGUUAAUCGGAAUUACUGGGCGUAAAGCGCACGCAGGCGGUUUGUUAAGUCAGAUGUGAAAUCCCCGGGCUCAACCUGGGAACUGCAUCUGAUACUGGCAAGCUUGAGUCUCGUAGAGGGGGGUAGAAUUCCAGGUGUAGCGGUGAAAUGCGUAGAGAUCUGGAGGAAUACCGGUGGCGAAGGCGGCCCCCUGGACGAAGACUGACGCUCAGGUGCGAAAGCGUGAGGAGCAAACAGGAUUAGAUACCCUGGUAGU
Molecule: ribosomal RNA, 720 nt
Filed under: uncultured bacterium
Lineage: Bacteria
Description: bacterial SSU rRNA
Rfam family: Bacterial small subunit ribosomal RNA
Source: RNAcentral